This 493-nucleotide ribosomal RNA is filed under the name uncultured bacterium. Its description in RNAcentral is "bacterial SSU rRNA". It matches the Rfam family "Bacterial small subunit ribosomal RNA", at positions 29 to 496 of the family's 1533-position model. The record is from RNAcentral.
AACGAACGCUGGCGGCGUGCCUAACACAUGCAAGUCGAACGCGAAAGCCCUUUCGGGGGUGAGUAAAGUGGCGCACGGGUGAGUAACACGUGGAUAAUCUGCCUGAUAAUCUGGGAUAACAUCUCGAAAGAGAUGCUAAUACCGGAUAAGCCCACAGUCUCCUCGGAGACAGCGGGAAAAGAUGGCCUCUUCAUGAAAGCUAUUGUUAUCAGAUGAGUCCGCGGUCCAUUAGCUAGUUGGUAGGGUAAAAGCCUACCAAGGCGACGAUGGAUAGCUGGUUUGAGAGAAUGAUCAGCCACACUGGAACUGAGACACGGUCCAGACUCCUACGGGAGGCAGCAGUGGGGAAUUUUGUCGCAAUGGGCGAAAGCCUGACGCAGCAACGCCGCGUGAGUGAUGAAGGUUUUCGGAUCGUAAAGCUCUGUCAAGAGGGAAGAAACCUCCAACGGCCAAUACCUGUUGGAAUUGACGGUACCUCUAGAGGAAGCACCGG